AUUGCACGCUGGCGGCAGGCCUAACACAUGCAAGUCGAGCGGAUGAAGGGAGCUUGCUCCUGGAUUCAGCGGCGGACGGGUGAGUAAUGCCUAGGAAUCUGCCUGGUAGUGGGGGAUAACGUCCGGAAACGGGCGCUAAUACCGCAUACGUCCUGAGGGAGAAAGUGGGGGAUCUUCGGACCUCACGCUAUCAGAUGAGCCUAGGUCGGAUUAGCUAGUUGGUGGGGUAAAGGCCUACCAAGGCGACGAUCCGUAACUGGUCUGAGAGGACGAUCAGUCACACUGGAACUGAGACACGGUCCAGACUCCUACGGGAGGCAGCAGUGGGGAAUAUUGGACAAUGGGCGAAAGCCUGAUCCAGCCAUGCCGCGUGUGUGAAGAAGGUCUUCGGAUUGUAAAGCACUUUAAGUUGGGAGGAAGGGCAGUAAGUUAAUACCUUGCUGUUUUGACGUUACCAACAGAAUAAGCACCGGCUAACUUCGUG
Molecule: ribosomal RNA, 484 nt
Filed under: uncultured bacterium
Lineage: Bacteria
Description: partial 16S ribosomal RNA
Rfam family: Bacterial small subunit ribosomal RNA
Source: RNAcentral